Molecule: ribosomal RNA, 407 nt
Filed under: uncultured bacterium
Lineage: Bacteria
Description: partial 16S ribosomal RNA
Rfam family: Bacterial small subunit ribosomal RNA
Source: RNAcentral
AUUGAACGCUAGCGGCAUGCCUUACACAUGCAAGUCGAACGGCGUGGCGAACGGGUGAGUAAUGUAUCGGAACGUGCCCAGUAGCGAGGGAUAACUACGCGAAAGCGUAGCUAAUACCGCAUACUAUUGGAGCGGCUGAUAGUGGAUUAGCUAGUUGGUGGGGUAACGGCUCACCAAGGCGACGAUGCGUAGCUGGUUUGAGAGGACGACCAGCCACACGGGGACUGAGACACGGCCCAGACUCCUACGGGAGGCAGCAGUGGGGAAUGUUGGACAAUGGGGGAAACCCUGAUCCAGCCACGCCGCGUGUGCGAUGAAGGCCUUCGGGUUGUAAAGCACUGUUGGCAGGAAAGCGGUACCUGCAGAAUAAGCACCGGCUAACUACGUGCCAGCAGCCGCGGUAAUUC